UGGCGUCCAGGAGACGGGAUCUCUGCGUCUGACUUGGCCAGGAAGUCCGUUGAAGCGGUGCCAAUGUGCGCGUGCGAGAAGCCAGUCCCUGCAGGAGCAGCAGCAGCAUGACGUUUCGGCAUCUCGGUCCGAGCAGCUGUACUUGCCGUCACCUUUCGGUCCCCGAAUGCUGCCGUGCCACGUCGCUGACGACAUCGACGGAACACUCGUUGAAGCGGCAACGCUGUCCUCGGUGCCUUCCGACCGUUCACGAAGACAUCGAGCUGGAUGCGGCGAACUGCGAAAAGCGGUCCGCAUACGAUGUGCCUUUCGCGCCCAGAGAUUCAGUGCAAAAGCUAGCGGAACGUGACGACCUUCUUGCUUCGGCGGAGCGUCUGACUACGGCGAAACAAGAUUUCUCACAAGCGCAGCGCACCGGUCAAGACCAAGGAAGCACUGAAUCCGAGCCGAACAACUAGUCAUAAGGUUUUUAGCAAUAAAUAAAAUUUCAUGUAUCCACGUCCCGUGUCCCCUCUUUUUUACGCCAUGAGCAACGGGGUCAUAUUUUUGACGAGGAAGGCGUUCGGAUAAUAAUGGUCCAACUCGUGCAGAGUCUCCCCGAGGACGGCUCUUACCGGACCAAG
This is a long non-coding RNA of Dermacentor silvarum, 623 nucleotides long. RefSeq lists it as uncharacterized. The record is from RefSeq and is a predicted model, not a curated record. The transcript is spliced from 4 exons. Lineage: Eukaryota; Metazoa; Arthropoda; Arachnida; Ixodida; Ixodidae.